GCUAUUAGUUAAGAGGGCGUAGUUUGCAGGCUGUUGCUUCUCAUUCAGAUCCCGUCUCGUCUCGUCUCGCGUACAAAUAGUCGAUCGAGAUCGACAUCCGGAUCCCCGGACACACGGCGAAAUAAGAAAAAUACUUUCGCGCAUCGUUCGUUGUUCGAGAGUUGUUCCACGAGUUUUCUGCCCGCCACGACUUUUCUAAAGCUCUAUUCACACCGCCUACAACUUUCGAUUCUAUAUAUUCAAUCUCUUUUCAAACCUUAACCUCCUAUGUGCUACGGGUUUCAAUGUUCGAAGCGAAUGAAGAAGAUUGCCCGGUUGUCGAAUCGUAAAAAGUAAUGUGAUUUUUUGCAAAGGGUGCCGGUAGAUAAACUCCGCUAUUUAACGAGAGCAGGAACACGCAUUUAACCAACAAGGCCGCAAAUACGAGAGCGGCAGGCAAGCCGACUAAUCGAAAUGCGGCGCAGGAGAGAGGGUUUUGGCUGAGGGAGGCCGCUGCCGAGAGUCCUGCCAGUAGGAAAAGGCCUAAAAGUAGAGCUUGCCCCAAAAAUAAAUGUCGUCUAUUCGGUGCGGUCACUCUUGCCUGAAAAAUAUUAUUAUCAUUAUCAUUAUUAUUAUUAUUAUUAAAUUUGUUUUUUUUUCUUUUCUUUAUUAAAGAACUUGUUCGCUUAUCGUCGAUAAAUCAUUUUUUUUUCUUUUCUUUUGAAUGAUAAACGAACCGCAACGAAUGUUUACUCUGAUAUUCGGUUAUAUUGUACGAUCGCUCGUAAAAAGAAAUUGAGGGAAAAUAAAAACGUGCACGCGUUCACGUUUCACGCGAGGCGAGUGCUCUCGAUUUUUCUUUUUUUCCUUCCAACCAAGGAAAGAGUGAUGAUAUCGAGAUAAAAGAAGAAAAGAAAUUGAUCAAUUGGACAAUUGUUAAAAUAAAUUGUAAGUAUAAUGGAAUACGAAUUACGAUCGGAGAGUACCAGUCACUGUACCAAAAAGGAUUUACCUCUAUGAGAAAGAAGCCGUGGUGAACGCGAAAUACCUUCCUCCACCCGAGGAACCCUAAAUGAUGCGGAGCACCGAACUCUCGGUAUUGCAGUAAGAGAGGAGAGAAGUCGCUUGCAACCGGUUUCAACAAACUAAAGCUAAAUAAAGUCAUGUAGCGGCGCGAACGAAGGAAAUCGCUCUGCCGAUAAUUGCGCCCACGAAAAACUUUUCGUUGCUUGGCCGCGCAGCUAUAGGUUAUGUGCGCCUAUUUGUAAUAUUUAAAAACAAGCGACCAUCAUUAUCGAGUUUGUGAUGAUCACCACACAGGGUUUGAUACGUUGAUAAGUCGACCCUUCCACGGCGAUUCAUUUGAAUAUAAAUCCGGCUGUCUACACACGUUGGAAAUCUCGGGAACGAAUACGAGGGAUAAGAAGGAUGGGGAGCCAAGGAGGAACCGAGAAACGAGUCGGACGAGGGGAGGUGGAAGAAGGAAGAGACGAAACGAAGAAUUCUUUUUUCGUUGGCGCACAUUGUAACCGCAAACCGCGGUGGUCGACCAUGCAGGAUAUUUUUUGUUCACCUUAUUUUGGGCUCCUCCGCGCGUUUGACUUUCUUCUUUUAUAUCGUUUUAAUAUAUUCGCGCACGAAUAGAGUUUACGUAUAUAUACCUGUAUAUACGUGUAUAAUACGGUCUCUUCGUUACUUUAUUAUUUCAGAAUAUCGUGGUGAACGUGGAAAUAUGAAUACUUGUAAUUGCAAAAAGAAUUAAUAAAUUUUAGAAUAUAUAAAUAAAAGCGUUAUUUAAUAAAAGGAUUAUAAUCAACAAGAUUAAAUUUAAAUAAUUUGUUUAAGGAAUAAUUUAAAUUAAACCUGAUGUGAGAGAGAAUAAUAAAUAUCGAGAACCCAAGGAUAUAAUAUUGUUUCACGAGUUCGAUGACCCGAAACCAUGAAAGAUUUUUUUAAAAAUGAUGGUAUUUCAAAUUUUUUUUUUUUCUCACCUCUGUUUACCGUUACUCAUUUACAUGUAAUCAUUAUAUUCUGGUUUUAAUUUUAAUGCUCGCAAAUAAUUAUUCUUCGAAUGAAUAAAUUAAAAAAGUAACAAAGGGAUACGAUAUCCAAUAAAAAAAAAAUAAAUAAAUAAAUAAAGAGAAAAAUACUCGAAGAAUCUUCGUACAUUGGUCAAAUUGGAUAAAAAGAUUCUGUCAAAAUAAAUUUAUGACGGAAAUUAUUUCAAAUUGAUGCAAGUACAAAAUAACAAGUAAAAUUUUCAUGAAUAAAUCUAUUGAAGAAUGAGAGAAAUGUAAAUGAGCUAAACGAACUGGCGGAUAAAAGCAAUAGAUUCGCAUAAAUCACGAUUCGAUGAAUAAUCUUUCAUAUUCUCGAGUUGGGAGAAAAAAAAAAAAAAAAAAAAAAAAAAAAAAAAAAAAAAAAAAAAAAAAAAAAAAAACACCUGUGUAUACCUGCGAAGGGAUAAAGAAGAAUCCAAAAGGGCGACUAUUAUUUUAUUCUGCGCGCGAGUUGCAUUGUUAAAAGAAACUUUUAUUACCUCUGCCAAGGACGAAAGCUCACCACGUAAUCUCGAGGAAAGUCUAUAUGGAGUCGUGAAACAUUUACUUCUUUACAUACGUAUUAUACGAAGGGUACGUGCAUAUAAGACCGCAAUGCACGUGUCUACGUGCGCUUACGAUGGGGUAACGAUAUUUAUUAUAUGUCGGCUAUGAAUUAUGGGCCGUUAACUUUGCCUUCGUGACGCGGCCCUUUGCUUCGCGACCAACCAGCCUACGAAUCGCCACUCUGCCUAUAGAAAAAUAUACAUAUUAUGCGCAUGCUCGGUGGGUUGAUCUCGAGCGAAAAAUUUACCUUUAAUAAAUUGCUCGCGAAUUCGCGAAUUAAUUAAUCGAAACGAAAAGUUAAAAUGUUAAAAGAAUUCGAUAGAAAAUCAAAAUGGAAGAAAAAAAAUCAUCUGUUCGGAAAACAUCGUAUAUAUUGGAAUAUCUAACUGUGAUACAAUAACAUCGUGAAACGUUAUAAAAAAAAAA
Molecule: long non-coding RNA, 3011 nt
Organism: Apis mellifera (honey bee)
Lineage: Eukaryota; Metazoa; Arthropoda; Insecta; Hymenoptera; Apidae
Exons: 4
Source: RefSeq, a predicted model, not a curated record